Molecule: ribosomal RNA, 254 nt
Filed under: uncultured bacterium
Lineage: Bacteria
Description: partial 16S ribosomal RNA
Rfam family: Bacterial small subunit ribosomal RNA
Source: RNAcentral
CACGUAGGGUGCGAGCGUUGUCCGGAAUUAUUGGGCGUAAAGAGCUCGUAGGCGGUGUGUCGCGUCGGCCGUGAAAACCUGCAGCUUAACUGUGGGCGUGCGGUCGAUACGGGCAUCACUGGAGUUCGGCAGGGGAGACUGGAAUUCCUGGUGUAGCGGUGAAAUGCGCAGAUAUCAGGAGGAACACCGAUGGCGAAGGCAGAUCUCUGGGCCGUAACUGACGCUGAGGAGCGAAAGCAUGGGGAGCGAACAGG